GACGAACGCUGGCGGCAUGCCUAAUACAUGCAAGUCGAGCGAACAGAUGAAGUGCUUGCACUUCUGACGUUAGCGGCGAACGGGUGAGUAACACGUAAGGAAUCUACCUAUAAGCGGGGGAUAACAUUCGGAAACGGGUGCUAAUACCGCAUAAUAUCUUCUUCCGCAUGGAAGAAGAUUGAAAGACGGUUCUGCUGUCACUUAUAGAUGACCUUGCGGUGCAUUAGUUAGUUGGUGGGGUAAUGGCCUACCAAGACGAUGAUGCAUAGCCGACCUGAGAGGGUGCUCGGCCACAUUGGGACUGAGACACGGCCCAAACUCCUACGGGAGGCAGCAGUAGGGAAUCUUCCGCAAUGGGCGAAAGCCUGACGGAGCAAUGCCGCGUGAGUGAAGAAGGCCUUCGGGUCGUAAAACUCUGUUAUAAGAGAAGAACAAAUUAUAGAGUAACUGCUACAGUCUUGACGGUAUCUUAUCAGAAAGCCACGGCUAACUACGUGCCAGCCGCCGCGGUAA
This 513-nucleotide ribosomal RNA is filed under the name uncultured bacterium. RNAcentral describes it as "partial 16S ribosomal RNA". It matches the Rfam family "Bacterial small subunit ribosomal RNA", at positions 28 to 523 of the family's 1533-position model. The record is from RNAcentral.